UGGAUGAUGUGGUUUAAUUCGAUGCAACGCGAAAACCUUACCCACCUUUGACAUGUACGGAAUCCUUUAGAGAUAGAGGAGUGCUCGAAAGAGAACCGUAACACAGGUGCUGCAUGGCUGUCGUCAGCUCGUGUCGUGAGAUGUUGGGUUAAGUCCCGCAACGAGCGCAACCCUUGUCAUUAGUUGCUACAUUCAGUUGGGCACUCUAAUGAGACUGCCGGUGACAAACCGGAGGAAGUGGGGAUGACGUCAAGUCCUCAUGGCCCUUACGUCCAGGGCGACACACGUGCUACAAUGGCAGCUACAGAGGGUCGCAAUACCGCGAGGUGGAGCCAAUCCCUAAAAGCUGUCUCAGUUGGGAUCGGAGUCUGCAACUCGACUCCGUGAACGCGGAAUCGCUAGUAAUCGUGGAUCAGCCAUGCCACGGUGAAUACGUUCCCGGGCCUU
RNAcentral lists this ribosomal RNA (447 nucleotides) under uncultured Rhodoferax sp. RNAcentral's name for it is "bacterial SSU rRNA". It matches the Rfam family "Bacterial small subunit ribosomal RNA", at positions 933 to 1382 of the family's 1533-position model. Lineage: Bacteria; Pseudomonadati; Pseudomonadota; Betaproteobacteria; Burkholderiales; Comamonadaceae. The record is from RNAcentral.